Molecule: ribosomal RNA, 299 nt
Filed under: uncultured bacterium
Lineage: Bacteria
Description: partial 16S ribosomal RNA
Rfam family: Bacterial small subunit ribosomal RNA
Source: RNAcentral
GACGAACGCUGGCGGCGUGCUUAACACAUGCAAGUCGAACGGGCUCUAGCAAUAGAGCUAGUGGCGGACGGGUGAGUAACACGUGAGCAACCUGCCCUAUACAACGGGAUAACACUAAGAAAUUGGUGCUAAUACGGUAUAAGACCACGAUGAGGCAUCUCAUAGGGGUAAAAGCUGAGGCGGUAUAGGAGGGGCUCGCGGCCCAUUAGAUAGUUGGUGAGGUAACGGCCCACCAAGUCGACGAUGGGUAGCCGACCUGAGAGGGUGAUCGGCCACAUUGGAACUGAGAUACGGUCCAA